Molecule: ribosomal RNA, 515 nt
Filed under: uncultured bacterium
Lineage: Bacteria
Description: partial 16S ribosomal RNA
Rfam family: Bacterial small subunit ribosomal RNA
Source: RNAcentral
GAUGAACGCUGGCGGCGUGCCUAAUACAUGCAAGUCGAGCGAAUGGAUUAAGAGCUUGCUCUUAUGAAGUUAGCGGCUGACGGGUGAGUAACACGUGGGUAACCUGCCCAUAAGACUGGGAUAACUCCGGGAAACCGGGGCUAAUACCGGAUAACAUUUUGCACCGCAUGGUUCGAAAUUGAAAGGCGGCUUCGGCGGUCACUUAUGGAUGGACACGCGUCGCAUUAGCUAGUUGGUGAGGUAACGGCUCACCAAGGCAACGAUGCGUAGCCGACCUGAGAGGGUGAUCGGCCACACUGGGACUGAGACACGGCCCAGACUCCUACGGGAGGCAGCAGUAGGGAAUCUUCCGCAAUGGACGAAAGUCUGACGGAGCAACGCCGCGUGAGUGAUGAAGGCUUUCGGGUCGUAAAACUCUGUUGUUAGGGAAGAACAAGUGCUAGUUGAAUAAGCUGGCACCUUGACGGUACCUAACCAGAAAGCCACGGCUAACUACGUGCCAGCAGCCGCGGUAA